Triticum urartu is the source of this 130-nucleotide non-coding RNA. Lineage: Eukaryota; Viridiplantae; Streptophyta; Magnoliopsida; Poales; Poaceae. The record is from Rfam.
UUUGUACUCCCUCCGUUUAAAAAUACUUGUCAUUAAAAUGAAUAAAAAAAUAUCUAAAUGUAUUUUAGUUUUAGAUACAUUCUUUUUAUUCAUUUUAAUGACAAAUAUUACCGAACGGAGAGAGUACAUC